RNAcentral lists this ribosomal RNA (434 nucleotides) under uncultured bacterium. RNAcentral describes it as "partial 16S ribosomal RNA". It matches the Rfam family "Bacterial small subunit ribosomal RNA", at positions 29 to 507 of the family's 1533-position model. The record is from RNAcentral.
AACGAACGCUGGCGGCAGGCCUAACACAUGCAAGUCGAGCGAGACUUUCGGGUCUAGUGGCGGACGGGUGAGUAACGCGUGGGAACGUGCCUUUUUCUGCGGAAUAGCCCCGGGAAACUGAGGCUAAUACCGCAUAUGCCCUUCGGGGGAAAGAUUAAUCGGCAUUAGAUCGGCCCGCGUCUGAUUAGGUAGUUGGUUGAGGUAAUGGCUAACCAAGGCUACGAUCAUUAGCUGGUCUGAGAGGAUGAUCAGCCACAUUGGGACUGAGACACGGCCCAGACUCCUACGGGAGGCAGCAGUGGGGAAUCUUACGCAAUGGGCGCAACCCUGACGUAGCCAUGCCGCGUGAAUGAUGAAGGUCUUAGGAUUGUAAAACUCUUUCAGCUGGGAAGAUAAUGACGGUACCAGCAGAAGAAGCCCCGGCUAACUCCGUG